AGGCUGGGUGGAGGAGGGGGGAGGGCCUGAGGGGUGAUGAGGAGCUACAGUGACAGCAGCAUCUCCGCUCUGUCGCCUUGCUCCUGUCAGUUUUCUACGGGAACCGGCCGGGACUCCGCCAGUUUCACUUCAUUACUAGUCUAGUGCCGACCGCCCAUCCGUCCGUCCGUCCGUCUGCGCGCGCGCCGAUCGAGCCCCACCGCCGGACGGUCGAUCAGAGUUUGGUGACCUACUUCGCCGCAAGUUCCAGCUACAGGAGCGCUCUGGCGAAGAGUUGCUGAAUAUCACAGCGAGAUCCAGUUUGAAAUUUGAUGUUCAUCCACUUUGCACUUUGGACGGUGCCGGUGGCGGGGGAAUACGCACGCAUGGUUACCGGAUACCAGACGGAGGAACUGGGGACUAAUUGUGGAAGCAAACCAAUAACCAUGGUGUCAGUUGCAGACCACACACAAGUCUAAAAGUGGACAAAGUGAGUCUGGAGGCGAAUGUCCAGCCAACCAUGGAGGCUGAUCUGAGGACUGGCCUGUCUGUGUGGGCCAUUGUGGCCAUCGUGUGUAACUCCGUGGUGGGCAUCCUCAUCCUCAUCCUCUUCGUCAUCCUCUACAAGGCCUGCAAGGUGCCGUCACAACCGGAGAGGGAAACGGUUUUCACGGCGGAGCAGGAGCAGAAGAAAGGAGAGCAAAAAUACCUGUUGACUGCAGCCUGAUCAUGGCAAAAGGAUUUCAGAUGGAGACGAAAUAAAAAUUUGCCAACUUGUUGGAACUCAAAAUUUGAUUCUCUCUCUGUGUCUUUCUCUUUCCUCUGCAGUUUAUCAGUCAUGCUCUGUCCUUGUUUUCCCCCAGAAUCUGAUAUUCUCCCUUGAAUUGUUUUGUCAUGUCACUUCUGUCUCAUCCCUGCCAUUUAGAGGAGUUCAGAAGAAGCUGACGAGCUAGCUGUGUUAAGGGUUACGUAAAGACCAACAAGCAACAACCGGUCCAAUCCUCUUAUCUCCCCGGCGCUUCGCUGGGACUGUCCAUCUGUCAGUCUGUUUGCUUUGCUCGAGUCAUCUCUGCACAGGCAGGCCACGCUCUCCUCCUCGAGCCCUUUCAUUUUCAUCUGAGAAAAUGCAGAUGUGGAGGAGAAAGAGUGGAAAACAGAAUGAAAGGGCAUGGUGAACGGGUGGAAGUGUUAGACUGAGUGGGGUGAAUGCAUUGAAUGGGAAUCAAAAGUAAAGUGUUAGAGGUGAACAUGAGGGAUGGAGAGAAGCAAAGUCUCAUCACAGCAGAAGCAGCUUGGUAUGUGCCAGCUGGAGCACUAAUUGUGCCAAUGAUGGAGUGGCAAACAGAAGAAAUGAGUACCUGAAAGUCAAGAGGGAGCAAGAGAGAAAGGGUGCGCGAGAGUCAAGAUGCGUUAAAGAGAGAGAUAAAGGGCAGAUAUUUUGGAGGGAUGAGAACCUGAGAAUGAAUAAUAGGUGAGGGAUGUUUUGAUGAUGUGGUGUUUACAGAGAGGGAGCUGCAGGCUCCUGUUUGACAGACUCCCAGAUUGACAUGCAAGUCUCUGUGCUUCCGCUGAUCCACCUCCCAGGGGGAUUAAAAGGAACAAUAAAAAAAAAAAAA
Molecule: long non-coding RNA, 1595 nt
Organism: Myripristis murdjan (pinecone soldierfish)
Lineage: Eukaryota; Metazoa; Chordata; Actinopteri; Holocentriformes; Holocentridae
Exons: 2
Source: RefSeq, a predicted model, not a curated record